AUACGGGGGAUGCAAGCGUUAUUCGGAAUCAUUGGGCGUAAAGGGCACGCAGGCGGUUCUGUCAGUCAGAUGUGAAGGCCCGGGACUUAACCCCGGACGUGCAUUUGAAACAGCAGGACUUGAGUAUGGUAGAGGAAAGCGGAAUUCCUGGUGUAGAGGUGAAAUUCGUAGAUAUCAGGAGGAACACCGGUGGCGAAGGCGGCUUUCUGGACCAAAACUGACGCUGAGGUGCGAAGGCGUGGAUAGCGAACAGGAUUAGAAACCCCGGUAGUCC
This 274-nucleotide ribosomal RNA is filed under the name uncultured bacterium. RNAcentral describes it as "partial 16S ribosomal RNA". It matches the Rfam family "Bacterial small subunit ribosomal RNA", at positions 523 to 796 of the family's 1533-position model. The record is from RNAcentral.